GGUUAAGCGAACAAGCGUACACGGUGGAUGCCCUGGCAGUCAGAGGCGAUGAAGGACGUGCUAAUCUGCGAAAAGCGCCGGUAAGGUGAUAUGAACCGUUAUAACCGGCGAUGUCCGAAUGGGGAAACCCGGUGCACUUCGGUGCAUCAUCGUUAGCUGAAUACAUAGGCUAACGAGGCGAACCGGGGGAACUGAAACAUCUAAGUACCCCGAGGAAAAGAAAUCAACCGAGAUUCCCCCAGUAGCGGCGAGCGAACGGGGAACAGCCCAGAGCCUGAAUCAGCUUGUGUGUCAGUGGAACGGUCUGGAAAGGCCGGCGAUACAGGGUGACAGCCCCGUACACGAAGGCACACAGGCUGUGAGCUCGAUGAGUAGGGCGGGACACGUGAUAUCCUGUCUGAAGAUGGGGGGACCAUCCUCCAAGGCUAAAUACUCCUGACUGACCGAUAGUGAACCAGUACCGUGAGGGAAAGGCGAAAAGAACCCCGGCGAGGGGAGUGAAACAGAACCUGAAACCGUGUACGUACAAGCAGUGGGAGCCUUCGUAAGAGGGUGACUGCGUACCUUUUGUAUAAUGGGUCAGCGACUUAUAUUCUGUAGCAAGGUUAACCGUAUAGGGGAGCCGAAGGGAAACCGAGUCUUAAUUGGGCGUUAAGUUGCAGGGUAUAGACCCGAAACCCGGUGAUCUAGCCAUGGGCAGGUUGAAGGUUGGGUAACACUAACUGGAGGACCGAACCGACUAAUGUUGAAAAAUUAGCGGAUGACCUGUGGCUGGGGGUGAAAGGCCAAUCAAACCGGGAGAUAGCUGGUUCUCCCCGAAAGCUAUUUAGGUAGCGCCUCGUGAAUUCAUCUCCGGGGGUAGAGCACUGUUUCGGCUAGGGGGCCAUCCCGGCUUACCAACCCGAUGCAAACUGCGAAUACCGGAGAAUGUUAUCACGGGAGACACACGGCGGGUGCUAACGUCCGUCGUGAAGAGGGAAACAACCCAGACCGCCAGCUAAGGUCCCAAAGUCAUGGUUAAGUGGGAAACGAUGUGGGAAGGCCCAGACAGCCAGGAUGUUGGCUUAGAAGCAGCCAUCAUUUAAAGAAAGCGUAAUAGCUCACUGGUCGAGUCGGCCUGCGCGGAAGAUGUAACGGGGCUAAACCAUGCACCGAAGCUGCGGCAGCGACACUAUGUGUUGUUGGGUAGGGGAGCGUUCUGUAAGCCUGCGAAGGUGUGCUGUGAGGCAUGCUGGAGGUAUCAGAAGUGCGAAUGCUGACAUAAGUAACGAUAAAGCGGGUGAAAAGCCCGCUCGCCGGAAGACCAAGGGUUCCUGUCCAACGUUAAUCGGGGCAGGGUGAGUCGACCCCUAAGGCGAGGCCGAAAGGCGUAGUCGAUGGGAAACAGGUUAAUAUUCCUGUACUUGGUGUUACUGCGAAGGGGGGACGGAGAAGGCUAUGUCGGCCGGGCGACGGUUGUCCCGGUUUAAGCGUGUAGGCUGACUUUCCAGGCAAAUCCGGAAGGUUAAGGCUGAGGCGUGAUGACGAGGCACCACGGUGCUGAAGUGACAAAUGCCCUGCUUCCAGGAAAAGCCUCUAAGCAUCAGGUAACAUCAAAUCGUACCCCAAACCGACACAGGUGGUCAGGUAGAGAAUACCAAGGCGCUUGAGAGAACUCGGGUGAAGGAACUAGGCAAAAUGGUGCCGUAACUUCGGGAGAAGGCACGCUGACAUGUAGGUGAAGCCCCUGCGGGUGGAGCUGAAGUCAGUCGAAGAUACCAGCUGGCUGCAACUGUUUAUUAAAAACACAGCACUGUGCAAACACGAAAGUGGACGUAUACGGUGUGACGCCUGCCCGGUGCCGGAAGGUUAAUUGAUGGGGUUAUCGCAAGAGAAGCUCCUGAUCGAAGCCCCGGUAAACGGCGGCCGUAACUAUAACGGUCCUAAGGUAGCGAAAUUCCUUGUCGGGUAAGUUCCGACCUGCACGAAUGGCGUAAUGAUGGCCAGGCUGUCUCCACCCGAGACUCAGUGAAAAUUGAACUCGCUGUGAAGAUGCAGUGUACCCGCGGCAAGACGGAAAGACCCCGUGAACCUUUACUACAGCUUGACACUGAACAUUGAGCCUUGAUGUGUAGGAUAGGUGGGAGGCUUUGAAGCGUGGACGCCAGUCUGCGUGGAGCCGACCUUGAAAUACCACCCUUUAAUGUUUGAUGUUCUAACCUGGCGCCGUGAUCCGGCGUGGGGACAGUGUCUGGUGGGUAGUUUGACUGGGGCGGUCUCCUCCCAAAGUGUAACGGAGGAGCACGAAGGUCAGCUAAUCCUGGUCGGACAUCCACCAGAAUCAGAUCCAGGAGGUUAGUGCAAUGGCAUAAGCUGGCUUGACUGCGAGAGUGACGGCUCGAGCAGGUGCGAAAGCAGGUCAUAGUGAUCCGGUGGUUCUGUAUGGAAGGGCCAUCGCUCAACGGAUAAAAGGUACUCCGGGGAUAACAGGCUGAUACCGCCCAAGAGUUCAUAUCGACGGCGGUGUUUGGCACCUCGAUGUCGGCUCAUCACAUCCUGGGGCUGAAGUAGGUCCCAAGGGUAUGGCUGUUCGCCAUUUAAAGUGGUACGCGAGCUGGGUUUAGAACGUCGUGAGACAGUUCGGUCCCUAUCUGCCGUGGGCGCUGGAGAAUUGAGGGGGGCUGCUCCCAGUACGAGAGGACCGGAGUGGACGCAUCACUGGUGUUCGGGUUGUCAUGCCAAUGGCACUGCCCGGUAGCUAAAUGCGGAAGAGAUAAGUGCUGAAAGCAUCUAAGCACGAAACUUGCCCCGAGAUGAGUUCUCCCUGAGACUGUAAGUCUCCUGAAGGAACGUUGAAGACGACGACGUUGAUAGGCCGGGUGUGUAAGCGCAGCGAUGCGUUGAGCUAACCGGUACUAAUGAACCGUGAGGCUUAACCUUAC
RNAcentral lists this ribosomal RNA (2921 nucleotides) under Cronobacter sakazakii SP291. RNAcentral describes it as "bacterial LSU rRNA". It matches the Rfam family "Bacterial large subunit ribosomal RNA". Lineage: Bacteria; Pseudomonadati; Pseudomonadota; Gammaproteobacteria; Enterobacterales; Enterobacteriaceae. The record is from RNAcentral.